Molecule: ribosomal RNA, 292 nt
Filed under: uncultured bacterium
Lineage: Bacteria
Description: partial 16S ribosomal RNA
Rfam family: Bacterial small subunit ribosomal RNA
Source: RNAcentral
GUGCCAGCAGCCGCGGUAAUACGGGGGGGGCAAGCGUUGUUCGGAAUUACUGGGCGUAAAGGGUUCGUAGGUGGCUCGCUAAGUCACACGUGAAAUCCCUCAGCUUAACUGGGGAACUGCGUGUGAGACUGGCAAGCUCGAGUGCAGGAGAGGAAUGCGGAAUUCCAGGUGUAGCGGUGAAAUGCGUAGAUAUCUGGAGGAACACCGGUGGCGAAGGCGGCAUUCUGGACUGCAACUGACACUGAGGAACGAAAGCCAGGGGAGCAAACGGGAUUAGAUACCCGAGUAGUCC